UGGGUUUUAUUCUAGCUCCGAGUGAAUGCUUGUAACAUAUUUUAACACAUGCAAAUUGAACGAAAAAUUUAUUAUAAAUUUUUAGUGGUGACCUGGUGCGUAAAGUAUGAGUAUUGAAGUAUAAAUUAAGUAUAAAAUACUUGAAGAUUUAUAUCGUUUAUACUAAAGCUUAUAUAGGAUUAGGUAGUUGUUAUAGUAAUUAAUUAACAAGCCUAUGAUGCUUAGCUGAUUUGAGAGAAUGAUCAGCCACAUUGGAACUGAAAACGGUCCAAGUCUUUUUAAAGGGCAGCAGUGGAGAAUAUUUGACAAUGAGCGAAAGCUUGAUCGAGUAAUGUUACGUGAGUGAUAAGAAGGCUUAAUUGCUGUAAAACUCUUUCGUCAAGGAUUAUAAUGCAAAUUGUACUUGAAAGAGAAGCCCUGACUAACUUCGUGCCAGCAGUCGCGGUAAUACGGAGAGGGCUAGUGUUAUUCGUAUUGACUGGGUGUAAAGGGUAAGUAGGUGGUUUAUUAAGUUUUAAAUAAAAUACUAAAAUUUAAUUUAGAAAUAUUUAAAAUACUAUUAAACUAGAGUUAUAUUGAAGAUAACUGUACAUUAAGUGUAAAAGUGAAAUUUGUUAAUAUUUAAAGGACAUUCAAUAAGCGAAGGCUGUUAUCUAAAUUAAUACUGACACUGAGUUACGAAAGCAUAGGGAUUGAACGGGAUUAGAGACCCCGGUAAUCUAUGCCCUGACCGAUGAAUGUUAAUUAAAUCAAAUGUAUUUAAUUAAGCUAACGCGUAAACAUUCCACCUGAGUACUACGACCGCAAGGUUAAAACUCAAAGAAACUGACGGAAGAUUGUAUAAGCGGUGGAGUAUGUGGUUUAAUUUGAUAUAACGCAAAAAAUCUUACCAAUCCUUGAAUGCAAAUAAUUAAUUCUAUAUUUAUUAUAUAAUACUAAAUAUAAAAAUUAAUUUAAAAUUAAUUAAUUUUUAUAAAUUUGCACAGGUGCUGCAUGGUUGUCGUCAGUUCGUGUUGUGAAAUGUUAUGUUAAUUCAUUUAACGGACGUAACCCUUAGUUUUAAUUUAUAUAGUAUUUAUAAAUAAUUUUAAAUCUAUUUAAAACUAAUAUUAAUAUAAAAUUAAUUGAAAAAGGAAGAAGUCAAAUCAUUAUGGCCUAUAUAGAUUGGGCUACACACGUACUACAAUGGUAAUUACAAUAUGAAACAAAAAUGUGAAUUAGAGUAAAACAUUAAAAAUUAACCUUAGUUCGGAUUAUUCUCUGUAAGUCGAGAGUAUGAAGGCGGAAUCGCUAGUAAUCGCAAAAUAGAAUGUUGCGGUGAAUAUAUUCUCAAUCUUUGUACACACCGCCCGUCACGCCAUGGGAAUUGGUUUGAUUUGAAAUAAGAUAGGUAUUAAUUUAAUAUAAUAUAAAUUAUUAUUUUUUAUUAUAUGUUACUAUACUAAUUAUGACAAUUAAAUUAAGGACUGGGGCGAAGUCGUAACAAGGUAGUGGUAGGGGAACCUGUUGCUG
This 1512-nucleotide ribosomal RNA is filed under the name Acanthamoeba comandoni. RNAcentral describes it as "bacterial SSU rRNA". It matches the Rfam family "Bacterial small subunit ribosomal RNA". The record is from RNAcentral. Lineage: Eukaryota; Discosea; Longamoebia; Acanthamoebidae.